UGUAAAGAUCCAACUAAAAUAUCUAAAGACAACCUAAAAAACGGGAAAGUUCAUGGAGUUCAUUCACUGCAGCUCGCGCUUCUUCAGCAACCAGGGAGGAGGCUUCCUUCUUCCUUCGAAGAUGUGCUCGUUGCGAGCUCACCAAAAGUGCCAAGUCACGGUCGCUGCCAGCUCUGUCUUCUUAUGACCGUUUCUAUUUCUGCAAAGAUCAUCCAUUAAUCGAAGCCACCAUUUCCAUGGAUCGUCGUUCUGCGGUAGGGCUGGGAGCUGGGCUGCUUGCCAUGCUUCUUGCGUAUCCGGGCACGACCAUAGACAAUAGAAGGUGGAUUCAACUUCUUUAUCACAGCAAUGGCAGAUUGGAGAGAUAGUGAGAAUUCUGGAAUUUAGCAUCUGCUUCACAGCUGUUUGUUCCUGCAUUAUUCUAGCAAAAAUUCAACUGGUGGCUGGAAUAAUUGAAAUGCUACUCGGUACCCAGAGGCUACUAUAUACGAUUCCUUCUUCUCUUUCAUCCAAGUAAUCUCAUCCUCUUCUUGAAUUGGUGUAUUAAGAAUUGCUGUGGCUAUUUAAGAGUUGUAUACUUCUAUGAUCAGUGCUUGAUUCCAAGUUCUGUUUGGUAACAUGAGGUUAGAGACCUAUAUUGGGUUGCGCUCUAGAGUAGAAUUAUUGAUAGGUGUUAUAGCCAUACACUCCUUCACCCAUGAGUCCUCCUUAAUGCUGAUUGAAAUACAUCUGCCUACUUUCCAU
Molecule: non-coding RNA, 744 nt
Organism: Arachis ipaensis
Lineage: Eukaryota; Viridiplantae; Streptophyta; Magnoliopsida; Fabales; Fabaceae
Source: RefSeq, a predicted model, not a curated record